RNAcentral lists this ribosomal RNA (252 nucleotides) under uncultured bacterium. Its description in RNAcentral is "partial 16S ribosomal RNA". It matches the Rfam family "Bacterial small subunit ribosomal RNA", at positions 524 to 776 of the family's 1533-position model. The record is from RNAcentral.
UACAGAGGUGGCAAGCGUUGUUCGGAAUUACUGGGCGUAAAGGGCGCGUAGGUGGCCUUGUUAGUCAGACGUGAAAUCCCCAAGCUUAACUUGGGAACUGCGUCUGAUACUGCAAGGCUUGAGUUCGGGAGGGGGAUGUGGAAUUCCAGGUGUAGCGGUGAAUGCGUAGAUAUCUGGAGGAACACCGGUGGCGAAGGCGGCAUCCUGGACCGAAACUGACACUGAGGCGCGAAAGCUAGGGGAGCAAACAGG